Molecule: transfer RNA, 76 nt
Filed under: Olsenella profusa
Lineage: Bacteria; Bacillati; Actinomycetota; Coriobacteriia; Coriobacteriales; Atopobiaceae
Also listed under: 3 other names
Description: tRNA-Ala(ggc)
Rfam family: tRNA
About the family: Transfer RNA (tRNA) molecules are approximately 80 nucleotides in length.
Source: RNAcentral
GGGGAAUUAGCUCAGUUGGGAGAGCGCAUGACUGGCAGUCAUGAGGUCAGGGGUUCAAAUCCCCUAUUCUCCACCA